GACUUAACUAAUCAUAAUGCAGUAACUUUAACAGAAAGGGCGGGAAGUUUAAUUAAGUCUUGUCCCUUAAAAAAAAAAAACGUAUUGUCGCAUGGCUUAAACAAACGACACCGGUUUCGACAAUAGGUUAGGAUUUCAUCAUCUUUCCCCAGUUUAUGCAGAACCCGAUUAGUGAGUUAUGUCUGCAUUGGCACCACUGUGACUGUGAACACGGAUCCUUCCUCUGCACACUUUCAAGAACGAGCCGAGCGCGAACUGAUAUUUUACCACGCCGUCGCCGUUUUUUCUCGUUACCUGGUUGUAUUUCCUCCCGACAAAUGCUGUUCCCUGACUUUACUAUGAGCCCAGUCAUUUCACUCCGCUUUGCAAUGGACAUUGCGGCGGCCGUUGCUUAGCAACCACAAAGCCUCACGGAGGCAACCGUAUUGUCCAGUUAAAACCAGGGGAAAGUGGGCGUCAUCUCCACUUGGUGUGGUGUGAAGUUAUUGAGUGCGGUGUCCGUUGUUUUGAACGUGGACUUUCACGCGGGAGGGUAACGCAGCUUCACCCGCAACACUGCAGCAAUGACCGCCGAAACGAGCUUGUUCCGCUUGCUGGAUUUGUGUAUCGACGCGCCGCAGUUCAGCACAGUAAACUACUCGGCUCUGCACUCGCUGCUGCGCCAGAUGUUGAAUAUGCUGCAGCUCCAGGGCAUCAUUCCCUUGGAGGAGGAGGAGGAGGAGGAGGAAGAGGAGGAGGAGGAGCUGGAGCUGGAACUGGAGGAGAAGGUGGCUCUGAAGGAUAUGUCUCAGUCAAUGGUUCCAGCGGAGGAGAGCGAUAUUGAGGGGAAGGAGUCUUGGGAGGAUCUUCAGGCUGAGCUGAUAAACCAGCAAAAGCAGCUUGCCCAGGAUCAGCAGAGUGGGACCGUUGAACUGAAGGAGUCCUGGGAUGACCUUCAGAGUGAGUGGAUGAGCCAGGUAAAGCAGCCGUCCAAGGUGUGCAGAAAGCAAGGCUAGGCACGGUGAACCACACUGUGACAGUGUUUUAGAUUGAACUGCUUUACUCUUAUUUUCCUUCUUUGUAUUCUGUGCAUGGCUGCAAUCCAGGACCAAGUCAAAGACAGCCCUGAGUCGAAGGAUUCAGAGGAUGCCCUUCAGAGUCUCCAAGGGCAGCUGUACCAGGUGAGCAUGUAGCAGGUCACAGUUGUGCAAACAGUGAUCUACAUUGUACUACAUUUCUUU
Molecule: long non-coding RNA, 1220 nt
Organism: Scleropages formosus (Asian bonytongue)
Lineage: Eukaryota; Metazoa; Chordata; Actinopteri; Osteoglossiformes; Osteoglossidae
Source: Ensembl